UACAGAGACCUCAAGCGUUAUCCGGAAUUACUGGGCGUAAAGAGCUCGUAGGUGGUUUGUCGCGUUGUUCGUGAAAACUCACAGCUUAACUGUGGGCGUGCGGGCGAUACGGGCAGACUGGAGUACUGCAGGGGAGACUGGAAUUCCUGGUGUAGCGGUGGAAUGCGCAGAUAUCAGGAGGAACACCGGUGGCGAAGGCGGGUCUCUGGGCAGUAACUGACGCUGAGGCGCGAAAGCCAGGGGAGCGAACGGG
RNAcentral lists this ribosomal RNA (253 nucleotides) under uncultured bacterium. RNAcentral's name for it is "partial 16S ribosomal RNA". It matches the Rfam family "Bacterial small subunit ribosomal RNA", at positions 524 to 776 of the family's 1533-position model. The record is from RNAcentral.